RNAcentral lists this ribosomal RNA (160 nucleotides) under Dillenia indica. RNAcentral describes it as "5.8S ribosomal RNA". It matches the Rfam family "5.8S ribosomal RNA". Rfam says of the family: 5.8S ribosomal RNA (5.8S rRNA) is a component of the large subunit of the eukaryotic ribosome. It is transcribed by RNA polymerase I as part of the 45S precursor that also contains 18S and 28S rRNA. The record is from RNAcentral. Lineage: Eukaryota; Viridiplantae; Streptophyta; Magnoliopsida; Dilleniales; Dilleniaceae.
UUAACGACUCUCGGCAACGGAUAUCUCGGCUCUCGCAUCGAUGAAGAACGUAGCGAAAUGCGAUACUUGGUGUGAAUUGCAGGAUCCCGUGAAUCAUCGAGUUUUUGAACGCAAGUUGCGCCCGAAGCCGUCAGGCCGAGGGCACGCCUGCCUGGGCGUC